This 719-nucleotide long non-coding RNA is filed under the name Homo sapiens (human). Its description in RNAcentral is "HSALNT0034183". Lineage: Eukaryota; Metazoa; Chordata; Mammalia; Primates; Hominidae. The record is from RNAcentral.
CAGGAGGCCCCCCUGUUGCUGUGCUUGUCAGGAGGUCCAGACCACGAAAUUGCCCAGCAGCUGCCUCAAUAGCCUGGAGAGCUUGGAGCCCCCGCUCCAGCCUGGAACAUCUCCAGCCCAGACAGGUCAGCUGCAAAGCACACUAGGAGGAAGGGGACCUAGCCCGGAGGGCUACCUGGUGGGAAAUCAGCAGGCCUGGCUUGCCCUCAGGCAACACCAGCGACCCCGUUGGCACCUGCCGUUUUUUUCCUGCCUGGGAACCAGUCCUGAAUCCUAAGGAGCCUGGGACCAGGAGCCAGAAAGUUAAGAGCUCCCCAUCUCUAGCUGGAAAAUCCAGACAUUUGGAAUUGCAUAUUAAGGAAGCCCAGAACUGGAAGCUUGGAGGAAAGCAUACUGGAGAAUAAGCUACAAAGAGCCUGGGCUUAAGAAUCCAAGAUUAGGGGCUGGGCGAGGUGGCUCACGCCUGUAAUCCAGCACUUUGGGAGACCGAGGCAGGCGGAUCAUGAGGUCAGGAGAUCAAGACCAUCCUGGCUAACACGGUGAAACCCUGUUUCCACUAAAAAUACAAAAAAUUAGCCGGGCGUGGUGGCGGGUGCCUGUAGUCCCAGCUACUCGGGAGGCUGAGGCAGGAGAAUGGUGUGAACCUGGGAGGCGGAGCUUGCAGUGAGCUGAGAUCCAGCCACAGCACUCCAGCCUGGGUGACAGAGCAAGACUCUGUC